UGGGAAGUGGAGCCAGAGGAGUUCAAGGCCAGCCUGCGUCUGUACUCAGGAAGAGCCCACCCUUGGCCUCUGGUAGUUGUAAGACCUGGCUUUUGUUGUAACAUAUUUGUCCCAAGACAGUCUAGUGCAAAGCUUCAUGGGAAUGUCAAGCGUAUUCUUCCAAGGACUGAGGAAGGGGCCGUUCUGUUUAAAGUCAGUGUUCCAGCACUGCUGGGGUGCAUGAGGUGGGGAGCAGGAUCAGCCCACAGAGUUGGAGUUUGCAGGAGGGACAUUAGGAAACUUGGGAACUGGGAUGAGGCCAGUGUGGGGCCAAGAGCUAUGCUUUCAAAGUAGCUCUUCUGACCCAGUGAGGCCUCAGGUCUCAGGACCCUCAGAGUGUCGCUGGGAGAACAGAAUCUAUCCCCGCACAGGUUAAACCAUUUCUCCACUCUUGAGUUUGUAUUCGUUGCUUUCAGGAAAAUCUUUUGUUCCAAGAGUAGGAAGCAGGCAGUGGGGUCUUCACCUGAAAACGUGAGCUUUUGCUCAUGGGCACAGCUAGUGUAGAGGGAAGUGCUGCCCUUGCAGUAUGAAGGGGGCGCCAAGGAGCCUGCGUAUGUAAGCGCAUAAGUUCAAGUGUGGUUGUAAAGCACUCCUAGCUUGGCUUUUGCACCUAUUUGGGCUUUCCCACCCA
RNAcentral lists this long non-coding RNA (670 nucleotides) under Rattus norvegicus (Norway rat). Its description in RNAcentral is "long non-coding RNA NONRATT022615". Lineage: Eukaryota; Metazoa; Chordata; Mammalia; Rodentia; Muridae. The record is from RNAcentral.